RNAcentral lists this small nuclear RNA (133 nucleotides) under Chelydra serpentina (North American snapping turtle). RNAcentral's name for it is "U5 spliceosomal RNA (ENSCSRG00000000681.1)". The stretch from base 19 to 133 matches the Rfam family "U5 spliceosomal RNA". From Rfam's summary of the family: U5 RNA is a component of both types of known spliceosome. The precise function of this molecule is unknown, though it is known that the 5' loop is required for splice site selection and p220 binding, and that both the 3' stem-loop and the Sm site are important for Sm protein binding and cap methylation. The record is from RNAcentral. Lineage: Eukaryota; Metazoa; Chordata; Testudines; Chelydridae.
CUGCCCGUCUUCUCACACAGAUAUAGGCGCAUGCCCACAUUAUAAAUCUUUCGCCUUUUACUAAAGAUUUCUGUGGAGAGGAACAUUUAUGAGUUUCUACCCAAUUUUUGACUCAGAAUCGUAGAAAUGUAGG